RNAcentral lists this long non-coding RNA (3956 nucleotides) under Sus scrofa (pig). Its description in RNAcentral is "lncRNA (ENSSSCG00065039043.1)". The record is from RNAcentral. Lineage: Eukaryota; Metazoa; Chordata; Mammalia; Artiodactyla; Suidae.
CUCUGCCCCGAGGAUUAGGUGGGCUAUAGUUUUACAAUCCAAAGGAAGUGGGGAGGGGAUAAAAACUGUCCUUUCUUUGAGUAGACAUCAGGCUUACAUCAUUAGCUCCUCCUUUGUAUCCAGUAAGUGAGUGUUUGAUCCUAUGAGAUCAAACUAGAACUUUCAUGGUGCAUAUUAAAUCAGUAGAAGGGAGGUAACAUAUGCUAAAAUACAUUGAAUCAUCUCAGGUUUCUGUAUAAUGAGGGUCUCCUACUUUGGAACGUCGUCUUUCCCUUAAAAUCCUGCCCUUGGUCCUAAGAGUUAUUGCCAUUCUGAACUUGAAUGCAGGUCUCAUUUUACCUUUCACUAAGUGACCUGAGGUAUACCUCGUUAAGAAAGCCUGCCUCCUUCUGAUGGCUUUCUUGAGUGAUUAUUAACUUACAGUGAAAUAAGAAACAGAGGACAUGGAGGGUCUUUUGCCCCUGGAGGCCACUACAGCAUCCUGAUCAUUUUCAGCACUAACCUACUUUACAACAGCUCCACUCUCAUAACCUAAUUAUCUCCCAAAGGUUUAGGAAUAAAAGGUUAGGUUCUCAACAUAUGAAUUUGGGGGUGGGGCACAAACAUUUAGUUAACAGGAACUCUUUUAAAUAUUUUUCAUGAACAACCUCUUUAUAUCUUUAUAACAAUCUUUAAAAGGAGGUGCUCUUGUUAUCCCCACUUUACAUGUGAGAAGUGGAAGCAGAGAAAGAUUGGGCAACUUGUGCAUAAUCAUAGACCUGAGAGCUAGAGUCAAUAUUUAAGCCUAAGGAGUGCGGCCCCACAGAAUCCGUGCUAUUAAACAUUAAAUACACUUCCUCUCCAAUGGAAGUGUGUCCAUGAUAUUCUGUAUGUAAAGAAAGCUGUGUUAAGAAUUUUGUUCAGAGAGUUCCCAUUGUGGUUCAGGGGGUUAAGAACCCAACUAGAAUCCAUGAGGAUGAGGGUUUGAUCCCUGGCGUCGCUCAGUGGAUUAAGGAUCCAGCAUUUCCACAAGCUGUGGCAUAGGUCACAGAUAUGGCUUGGAUUUUGCAUUGCUGUGGCUGAGGUUUAGGCCAGCAGGUGCAGCUCCAAUUCACUCCCCCAUGCCAAAACUGUGGCUCUAAAAAGAAAAAAAAUUUUGUUCUGGGUGUUAAGUUAGAGCUUUACAGUAUCAAAGUUUAUUUUCCCAGGAGACAAUUGGAAAUUUGGAUUUAAGGACUGGAAAAUAGAUGAACUUAAAGACAUAAUUGAAAUGAGCAUAUAGUAAAAGCCACUGGAUUGUACUUCCAGGAGAGAGUAUUUGGUCCAAAUUUUGAAGUCCCUAGUCUGGGAGUACUUUGAAUGGAUAAAGUGCUUUUUUUCAGAAGAAAGAGCAGGAAUGGCCACAGGAUCACUAGGCAACAGAGAGAGUGGAAUACAGAUAUCAGGAUAAAGUUUCUAGAAAGAGGGAGUGAGAGUGAACAAUGCCAAGUGCUACAGGGAAGUUAGGUAGGACUGAAAACAGGUGGUUGAAUUUAGCCAAUGGAAGGUUAUUAUUGAUUUGGGCGAAUGCAAUCUUUAUUGUCAGAUAGUAACGAUAGCCACCCUGUGAAAGGUUGAGAACAAAAGGUCACUGAUAAUUUCUGUUUGAAGGAGGUAAUUUAUAGAAGAAUGCCAUAGUCUGUUAAUGCCAGAUAUCAGACAGAACUUGGGGAACUGUUGUUAAAAGGGAAGGAAUAGAAGAGAUCAUGGCGCUACCAUUCUUCCAAAGGAGCAAGUGAGACCAGGAAUUGGGGUCGGUCAACCACAGUGCCUAUUACUUCUACUUUGACUCCAUCAGAGAGCCACUUAGCACUGACUCUAUAACACGCUUUCAUUCAUUAACUCAUCCAUUCUCAUUUAAUCAAUAGCCAUCAUUAAGUGCUUGCUAAGUGCUAUGUGGGCAGACUGUGUGUAUGUGCAGGUGUCAGUAAGUGUUCAGGGGGAUGGAGGAGGAAGUGGGUGUUACAAGGGAAGGCUGACAUGGGAAGUCUGCCAGGAAUAUAAUGUUGACCACAUUAAAAAGCCAGAGAGAGCAACAGCGCAUUGCCUGAACCAUGUGUCACGUCCAGUAGGACUAGAGUGUGUAAGAAUUGGUGGGAUUCAGCAUUAGUUUGGCAGAAGAUAGGAAAGCCUAAAUCAAGACUUGUUAAUAGGGGGCCAGCUUGAUCAGACUUUAUUUUUUGAAAAUUGAAACCUCGGGAGCUCACAUUGUGGUUCAACUGGUUUAGGACUUUACAUAGUCUCUGUUAGGAUGUGGGUUCUAUUCCUGGCCUCACUCAGUGGGUUAAGAAGUGAGGCAUAGUUAGGUUGCAGAUGCAGCUUAGAUCCCGUGUUAUGAUGGCUGUGGCUCCAAUUUGAUUCCUAAUAUGAGAACUUCCAUGUGCUGCAGGCGUGGCCAUAAAAAGAAAAAAAAAUUGAAACCUCUAUAUCCACAUUACUGUAUUUUAGGAUAAGUGCUAUCCAUAACUAAAAGCCCAUGUUACAUGUUUUUCUGUGAAAAUCUGCAUAACCUCAUAUUUAUGAAUGUGGGUGCAUAUUCCAUAUGAAAGUAAUUUUAUGAGCAAGUUUAUUGUUCUCAGGUUAAUAUUUCAAUGUUUUGUACACUUUAUGCUUUCUUAUUGGGAGCAACUAUCCAUUGUAUGUGAAGAUGACAUGGUUUCCCAAGAAAAGCUGCUGAUUGAGAUGGAAGGAAUAGCACAUUUCUCCUUGGAUUUUGAGCCAAUUCAGAUGAUGUAACUACCUGUGAAACAAAUGCGCUGCCAUGUAUUGGGGAAACAGUUUAAACUGCAGUGACCGCAGCUCUGUGAACCCUCUAGAGCAAUCACUUUUCAGGAAGGAGGGUGGAAAAAAUAUGGGAAAAGUUGUCAUAAAAAGGAAAAGCGGACUGAAUGGAAGUCAGAGAAAGGCUAGGGAUGGUGGAAGAGGGAGAGGGUGCCAAGAGGAAGUUCUGGAUGAGGAAGUGCAGGAUGAAACUGCUGUUUGCUCUGGUUGGCCUCAAGAUAACCUAUUUGGAUAAACAUGAAGUGCCUAUUUGGUUUCUAUUUUCCUAGUAAAUGGUAUGUGAAGGGUUAAUUUGUUGUAGAUUAAAACAUGAGACACCAAACAGCAUGUAUUAUUUUUCUUUUCCUCUGAUGCCCCUCACCCCUAAAGACAGAGAACUGGGCUGUUCAUCACCCCUUGGAGAAUUGGCACCAAACAACAGAAAACUAAUACAGAAUUUUCAGCUUUCAAUGUAAAAUGUGUAUGCAUUUUUGUGACUGAGACACUAGAAGGACCCCCGAGAAACUGGAGAGGGGAAGCUGACAUGUUCUUUAAUGGGGUUCUUCUUAGAAGCCACAUACCACAGCCCCCAGCCCCACUGGAAGAGUGGAAAGGUGUUUCAGGGUGUACCCCAAGCUUCAUGAGAACCUCUCCCAGAGCAUAGCAUGUACCACUGUGAUGUGGGAGACAGGUACCUGAUUUCCAGGCUGAUUGGUUUAUGGAUAGCUAAAAGGCAACAUUGGGAGCCAAGAUCAAUUGCACCAGAGGUGGAAUGAUGCAAGGGGAAGAUAUCUUGGGAUGACCCCACUCAAGAGUAUUUCCUACCAGGAAUGAGGGGAAUGCUUCAGAAAGAAUGGGAGUGGAUUUUCAAGUGAAGAUGAAGGUUCUUUACUUUGUAAGCUGCCCAGCAGGUAAAAGGAGGCAUUUCCAACUCCAUGAUACUGUAAUCAGAAGUUCCUAUUAAGGAGUUCUUGCUGUAGCUGAGUGGGUUAAGGACCCGACUAGUAUCCAUGAGGAUGUGGUUUUGAUCCCCGGCCUCACUCAGUAGGUUAAGGAUCCUGCAAGCAUAGGUCACAGAUGUGGCUUGGAUCUGGCAUUGUGGCUGUGGCGUAGGUGGGAAGCUGCAGUUCGGAUCUGACUCCUGGCCUGGGAACUUCCAUAUGCCACAGGUGCGGCUG